UAGGGAAUCUUCCGCAAUGGACGCAAGUCUGACGGAGCAACGCCGCGUGAGUGAAGAAGGAUUUCGGUUCGUAAAACUCUGUUGUUAGAGAAGAACAGCGCAUAGAGUAACUGUUAUGCGUGUGACGGUAUCUAACCAGAAAGCCACGGCUAACUACGUGCCAGCAGCCGCGGUAAAACGUAGGUGGCAAGCGUUGUCCGGAUUUAUUGGGCGUAAAGCGAGCGCAGGCGGUCAAUUAAGUCUGAUGUGAAAGCCCCCGGCUCAACCGGGGAGGGUCAUUGGAAACUGGUUGACUUGAGUGCAGAAGAGGAGAGUGGAAUUCCAUGUGUAGCGGUGAAAUGCGUAGAUAUAUGGAGGAACACCAGUGGCGAAGGCGACUCUCUGGUCUGUAACUGACGCUGAGGCUCGAAAGCGUGGGUAGCAAACAGG
RNAcentral lists this ribosomal RNA (429 nucleotides) under Bacteroidota bacterium. Its description in RNAcentral is "Bacteroidetes bacterium partial 16S ribosomal RNA". It matches the Rfam family "Bacterial small subunit ribosomal RNA", at positions 355 to 776 of the family's 1533-position model. Lineage: Bacteria; Pseudomonadati; Bacteroidota. The record is from RNAcentral.